This is a non-coding RNA of Pogona vitticeps (central bearded dragon), 1952 nucleotides long. The record is from RefSeq and is a predicted model, not a curated record. NCBI's taxonomy places the organism in Eukaryota, Metazoa, Chordata, Lepidosauria, Squamata, Agamidae.
CUAUGAGAGCGGUUCUUAAGUCAAAAUGUUCUUAACUCGAGCCGUUCUUAAGUCAAGACCCCACUGUACAACUUUUAAACAGUAAUGUAGGACACCCCUAUGUGUAGUCUUCACCCCCUGGUUCCUUCACACCUGGGAGGAUCAGUGGUUCACAUCAGCCUGCUUAGAGCUGCAGGUUUGUAUGUUAGUCAGCUGAAGACACCUUGGCUGCCACUCAAGACACAAAACUUUAAGGCCAAAUAAGGAGUUGAUACCAUGGUCUCAGGAUCAAAACCCAUGGAAUGGAAUCUUCUGUGAAGAUGCUGACAGUGGGAGGUCUAAGUGGGAACGGCCUGUCUCUGUGCCACCCAGACUUCAUUCCUGGUGGAUUUUCUUUAGGGACUGUUAUGCUUGAAUCUGCUUUCCUGCAUCUUUUGGACAGUCGUGGCCUGCGGCUUGGGGUAAAAACCAAUAUCAAGUACAGCUGGAAUGCAUGGAUGUAGAGGAGCCGUGUCCUCCGAUGAUGGUGGCAAGUCAGCUUUGUUCCUACUCUCAGGAAAUGUCCAAGACUGCCACAAGCCAAACCAUCCUGUGAUGAGAAGAUGAAGCUUAUCACUGUAAAGCGCAUGUGAGUCUGGAACCACCGUUUGGAGGACGUUGGGGACAGCUUGUGAUCUAAACAGGGAUAGAGGUGUUUUUCCGCACCAUUUCAGGGUAAGACGCCUCCAUGGCUCAGAUAGUGGGCCACCCCUGCAGAAGACCCAAACUGUGUAUGCCCUUGACAUCAAAAUCCUCCAUAGUCCAUCCGAUUUUUUUACUUCAGAGCAUUGACGGAUUGCCACAAGGAACAAAUGUCAAUUACAAUUUCAUUAACUGUGCAUGCUGCUCCUAAGGGCAGCCAACCUGAAACAGCUCAGAACUGGUCAAACGAACAUAUUCUAGAACGACAUGUCCUCAAACAAGGUCAUCCACCACAUUUCUGCAUGAGUUGCUGUUCUAGGCAUGCUCCCUCUUCAGUCCUUUUCAAUGUGUGUGGGAAUGAGGCCCCCCAAAGCCUCUUUUCGGUCUGAGAGACGCUGGCCCAACAUGUACAGCAUACAAAGCGCAUUGUCUUACCAUCACUUUCUUGAAGCACCGUUGUUUCCAGUUAUAUGGAGAACUCAGGAUAAGAGAUGAUGCCUCAGCAUACCUAUCACAGUAGGCCAGGGAAUAGCAAUGGCCUUGGCUUAACCAUGGCCAUGCACCACGAUGGCCAGUCACUGUUGCUUCCAGUAGGAGCUGCUAAACGAACCACAUGUCUUCAUUGUGUGAUUUCUUUACUGCAUCAUGUGAAGCUGGCUGCAACUGGUGCUCUGGCUUGUUCAACCUACAAACAACCCACUGUGCGGGCUGCUGUUUUAUCUGCACAUCAUGCGACACAAAGCUCAUGGCUACAGGAAUAACGAUUGAGUGCUGAUGUGAGCCUCAGGCUAUGUCUGUCCUAUUAACUUAAAACUAUUUUAACAGCUCUCCUGUAUCAGCCACGUUGUGAACCCUAGGGAAUGUUGCUUUCAGUUCCCCACCCAAGAGUCCUCUGCUAUAUCACAAAUCUAUAAUCAGGGCUGUAUGCACUUUGCAGAAAGAAAAGAAAAAAUAGGCUAAACUCUGGGAUGUGGUUGAGCCACAUUUUGCACUCUGCUUAAUUAUGCAAAUAUGCAUAAUUCUGUUCUGCAAAAUGUAUUCUGCUUCUGCUAAUUGUGAGAAAAGAGAGGAAGCUAUGUAGAAUACUAAAGUUGUAUAAUCUGGCAACCGCAUUCAGCAACUUCUCUCAUUCUGCAGACUACCAGGCUUUGAAUAAGUGUUGUAUCUUUCAGCCAUGAGGACUAGAAAAUUGAAGCUCUUGGGAAAUUGAAUUCCGUGAUUUAGGUUUAUAUUCCGCCAUUAUGAUUUUUAUCCAAUACUUGCUCAGAAUUGUAAUAAAUAAUUCAACCCUG